Small nucleolar RNA from Pangasianodon hypophthalmus (striped catfish), 213 nucleotides. RefSeq annotates it as small nucleolar RNA U3. NCBI's taxonomy places the organism in Eukaryota, Metazoa, Chordata, Actinopteri, Siluriformes, Pangasiidae. The record is from RefSeq and is a predicted model, not a curated record. The transcript has a single exon.
AAGACUAUACUUUCAGGGAUCAUUUCUAUAGUGUCUUACUAGGAAAUGUGAUAUGAAAGUGUUAUGUGUCUCUAAUCACAAUGAUGAGUUUUGAUGUACUCUUCUGAGCAUAAAGCAGGUUUUGGCUAAUGAUUCUUUCAUGGGCUUUAACCAUUGAUGAAUGUUCUUUACUUCUUAUAAGGUAUGUGUAGAAAAUUACGUGAUCAGAGUGAU